RNAcentral lists this ribosomal RNA (430 nucleotides) under uncultured bacterium. RNAcentral's name for it is "bacterial SSU rRNA". It matches the Rfam family "Bacterial small subunit ribosomal RNA", at positions 917 to 1350 of the family's 1533-position model. The record is from RNAcentral.
GGGCCCGCACAAGCGGUGGAGCAUGUGGUUUAAUUCGAUGAUACGCGAGGAACCUUACCAGGGCUUAAAUGUAAGUUGCAUAGAUCAGAGAUGGUCUUUUCUUCGGACUACUUACAAGGUGCUGCAUGGUUGUCGUCAGCUCGUGCCGUGAGGUGUCAGGUUAAGUCCUAUAACGAGCGCAACCCCUGUCGUUAGUUACCAGCAAGUAAUGUUGGGUACUCUAGCGAGACUGCCGGUGCAAACCGUGAGGAAGGUGGGGAUGACGUCAAAUCAUCACGGCCCUUACGUCCUGGGCCACACACGUGCUACAAUGGCCGGUACAGAGAGCAGCCACUACGCGAGUAGGAGCGAAUCUUCAAAACCGGUCUCAGUUCGGAUCGCAGUCUGCAACUCGACUGCGUGAAGUCGGAAUCGCUAGUAAUCGCAGGUC